UACGUAGGGUGCAAGCGUUGUCCGGAAUUAUUGGGCGUAAAGAGCUCGUAGGCGGUUUGUCGCGUCUGCUGUGAAAACUCGGGGCUUAACUCCGGGCCUGCAGUGGGUACGGGCAGACUAGAGUGCGGUAGGGGAGACUGGAAUUCCUGGUGUAGCGGUGAAAUGCGCAGAUAUCAGGAGGAACACCGGUGGUGAAGGCGGCUUGCUGGACCGCCACUGACGCUGAGGCACGAAAGCGUGGGUAGCAAACAGG
Molecule: ribosomal RNA, 253 nt
Filed under: uncultured bacterium
Lineage: Bacteria
Description: partial 16S ribosomal RNA
Rfam family: Bacterial small subunit ribosomal RNA
Source: RNAcentral